RNAcentral lists this long non-coding RNA (543 nucleotides) under Androctonus crassicauda. Lineage: Eukaryota; Metazoa; Arthropoda; Arachnida; Scorpiones; Buthidae. The record is from RNAcentral.
CGAUGAUAUUAGAUCAUCGUGAUAGGCACAUAACAAUAAUGCUGUAAGAUGUCAUCCAUUGUAAUAUCGCCGUGACGUGACAACGGCGAUAUUACAAUGAAAGCUGUGACGUCAUCCCGAAUUCGGCCAUCACUGAAUGAUUUAAAUGGUAUAUACGAUGUCAUCUCAAAAUGCCCCAUCCCCUGAUAACCUACGUUAUCAGUGGGAUUGCGGAAGUUUCCAUGCAAGCUCACUACCGAGUGGUCAAACCGUGCGAAAUUUUUGCGGACAGUACAGAUUUAUCAUUUGGAAUCCAUUGGUUUUUGUGUCCAAUUUUAAUGGUGAUUUAAUUGGUAUAGUCAUUACGACAGGUACGAUAAAUAUGCCAUAUAUUACCUCCAUACUGCUAACACUUAGCGCCAGUUAUUAUCAAAAAUAUAAAAUUUGAAUAAAAAUUAAAUAUAGAUCUUACAUAAUUAAAUUAUCCAAUGAAAUGACCAUUAGUUGUAGAAUAUCACUACAAAAUAUGAAAAUAUACAAUAAUUAGUUCAAAAGUUAUCAGUG